GUUGGUUAAGUGUGACAACUGUCAAUAUACAAUUGUCAAAAGGAGCAAACUAACCCUAUAAAUGUGACUUGUAGUGCCAUAACAAGCUAACCGAAAAUAAAUCAAUGAAAACUACUCUUCUUCUAGAAUCUUCUGCUCCUCUUCUUCGAGCUCUCAGCUCAAUACUAUAGAAAUAUAACAUGGUAUCAAAGCCACUACUGAUCGCUAGCUAUAAUCAGUACUAGAGACUAUCGAUUUCACCUGAUCAAUGAGAAUAACAGCUACUGUUCUAUUGCUUACAGUAAGCUUUAAUGGCGGUUACUCGAAACUCAGCUGCAAAUCCUUCAACUACAACUGCAGCACCUAGAAAUACACCUACUUCAGCUGGUACAAUUGAAAUUGACCACAAUCAUCCUCUGUAUUUGCAUCUAAACGACACUCCAGAUAGCUCUCUUAUUUCUAUCCAGCUUACUGGCACUGAAAAUUGUGCCAUGUGGAGUAGAUCUAUGGCGUUGAGUCUCAUAGGCAAGAACAAAAUAGUUUUUAUUGAUGGGAGAUAUCCUAAAAAUCACUUUGAUGAAUCAUUACAUGAUCAGUGGGAGAGAUUUAAUGCUGUUGUUUUGUCAUGGAUUAUGAAUUUAGUACGAAAGGAUCUGUUGAGUAGUAUUAUCUAUGCCUCUAAUGAUCAUAAUGUGUGGAUAGAUUUACAGGAAAGGUUUGAUAAGGUGAAUGGCUCUAGAGUAUUCUACUUGCAUAGAGAAAUUGUGACCCUCUCUCAGGGAACUCUGUCAGUUGCUGAUUAUUUUUCUCGAAUAAGAACUCUUUGGGAUGAAUGUGAUGCUAUUAUGCCUUCUCCUAGAUGUAGCUGCCCUGAAUCUAGAAGUUAUGCCCAACACUUUGAUUAUCAAAAAGUAUUACAGUUUCUAAUGGGUGUAAAUGAGACAUACUCUUAGUGUAGAAGCCAAAUCCUGUUAAUAACCCCUGUACCAUCCAUUAGCAAAGUGUACUCCAUGAUUGUGGAUCAUGAAAGUCAAAGAUCCAUAGCUUUUGGUUCCGUUGUGGGUCAUAUUAGUGAUACACUGGAUACAACAACUCUCUUUACCCAUAAACCAGGUUAUAAAGGCAAAAGUGGAUAUCUAGGUCCUAGUGGUUCAGGAGGUACAAGUUCAGUUAAGAUGACAAGUAUCUAUGAGGGAAGACCACCAGCUUCCACCUAUAGAGGUUCUCCACAGAAAAGACCACCAAUGGUUUGUGAGUUUUGUGGUUAUAAUGGUCAUACUAAGGAUCAAUGUUUCAAUAUGAUUGGUUACCCAUCAGAUUGUCCCAAGUCCAAGAAGAAAGGAUCAAAACAGUAUGGACAUAUGGUAGACUCUGCAUUCCCUGUGGACACAUGCUCUACUAGUGAUAAGUUGUCUCAAGCCAGUUCAUCCCAGACUACUUCGAGUCCUACUCCUCAUUUUACACCAGAACAAUAUCAAUAACUUGUCAUGCUGCUUAACAAAGGAAAGGAGGACAAGGAUUCCAUUUCCCCUGCAGAAAAUGUAGGUAUCAUAAUAGCUCCAACUAGUCCUACUGUAAGUGAUAGGUGGAUUAUUGACUCUGGUGCUACUAAUAUAUGGUAUUCAACCCUGAUAUGUUGCAUAGUUAUCAUAAAAUGCCUCAGUCUUCACAAAGUCAGGUCUAUCUUCCAACAGGUGAUGAGGUUUCAGUCUCUCACAAAGGAACCUCUGGUGUACUCAACAAUUCCCUCAUUACUGAUGUCUUAUAUCUGCCUGAGUUUAAAUAUAAUCUUCUAUCUAUAUCAAAACUUACCAAGGAGUUGCAAUGUUCAGUGAACUUUUUUCCUAACUUCUGCAUCUUCCAGGAUCUCUAUACUAGCACAGUGUUGGGGAUUGGUAAAAAGAUCAAGGGAUUUACAUUCUCCUAAAUGCUUCCUCUAAACUUACAAGUGUAAACAAGUGUGCCAAUAAUGUGAAGUUGUUGUCUGAUUCCAGUGUUCUGUGGUACAAAAGGCUGGGUCAUACACCUGUUAAGAUGCUUAAAAGGCAUACUGAACUAAGUUAUUUGAAGUUUGAAGAUCACAUAUGCACUGUGUGUCCCCUUUCUAAGCUGACUAAACUUUCUUUUUAGCAUAACAACUCUGUGUCUAAGGCCCCCUUUCAUCUUCUUCAUUGUGAUAUAUGGGGACCUUAUAGAGUGCCUACCUAUGAUAAAAAGAGAUUCUUUGUUACCAUUGUUGAUGAUCAUUCUAGAUUCAGUUGUUUGUUUCUUAUCCAGUUUAAGUCUGAAGUGAUAGUUGUACUCAAAGAUUUUCUGACUAGAAUGCAAAACUUAUUUUCUACUUUUGUGAAAAUUUUGAGAACUGAUAAUGGUUGUGAGUUCUUUAGUCAUGAAUUAAAAUCUCUUAUGUCUAAUCUUGGUAUUUUGCAUCAAACUUCAUGUGUCUAUACCCCUCAAAAGAAUGGGCUGGUGGAAAGAAAACACAGAACUAUUUUGGGAGUUGCAAGAUCCCUCAGAUUUCAAGCAGGUGUACCUCUCAAUUUUUGGGGUGAAUGUGUUGAGACUUUUGUGUACUUGCUGAAUAGAAUUCCCUAAAAAAUACUUCACUAUAAAUCUCCCUUUGAAAUCCUCCACCAACAGGUGCCUUCACUUUCUCAUUUAAAAGUCUUUGGCUAUUUAGGCUAUCCCUCUAGUCCUCAUUAUUCAGAUAAGUUUGCUGCUAGAGCAAUUCCUUGUGUCUUUAUGGGCUACUCAUCCACCCAGAAAGGGUAUAAACUAUAUGAUCUUCAUACCAGACUAUUCUUUACUAGUAGAAAUGUUAGCUUUCAAGAGUUCACUUUCCCUUUCCUUCACCAAUUUACCACUAACUCUCAAUUGUUUCCUGACUUGCAGUCCACUCUUGUUGAUUAUUCAGUUUCUUUUUUCUCUUUCCCCCCAUUCCUUCUUCUACUUCUUCUCCAGUCUCUCCUGAGCUGGAGCAUGGCCCUGUCCCUUCACCCUCAGCUCCUACUCAUCCCUCUGCAUCUCAUUCUGACCCUUCUCUUCUCAGAAAAUCCACCAAACAUAAGAAACGUCCCAUUUGGAUCCAUGACUUUGUCACUACCAAGUUUGUCUCAGCUAACCAAUGUUUGUAUCCAUUAUCUUCUUAUGUCACAUACUCUCAGUUCUAUCUUCAGUAUAAUCAAGCUCUCUCUGUCUAUUCUUCUAUUCCUGAACCCUCCAUUUUUCUUGAAGCCUCCAAAGAUCCCUCUUAGGUUGAGGCUAUGAAACUGGAGAUUGCAGCUCUUGAGGAGAAUCAUUCUUGGUCUAUUAUUGACUUGCCACCUGGUAAAGUUCCUAUUUAUUGUAGGUGGGUGUAUAAAGUAAAGUACAAGGCAACUGGAGAGGUAGAAAGGUAUAAAGCCAGACUAGUAGCUAAGGUCUAUAGUCAACAGACUGGGGUUGAUUACUCAGAUACUUUCUCUCCUGUGGCAAAGAUAGUGACAGUAAGACCCCUUAUUGCUCUUGCUGCUUCUCGACAAUGGUUGAGUUUUCAAAUGGAUGUGCACAAUGUUUUUCUUAAUGGUGAUCUGUCAGAAGAGGUCUAUAUGCAUAUUCCUGAUGGGUUUUGCAGAAAGUCUGCAAAUUACACAAGUCCUUGUACGGUCUAAAGCAGGCCCCAAGACAGUGGAAUAAGAAGCUUACUAAUGCUCUCUCACAAAAGGGGUUCAAUCAAAGUUAUUAUGACUACUCCUCAUUUACCAAAAAUUUAGAAAAUGAAAUAGUGAUUAUUCUUGUCUAUGUGGAUGAUCUGUUAAUAACAGAAAACAACCUCACCUUAAUUAAUCAAGCUAGAUCGGAUUUGCAACAAAAGUUUAAAAUGAAGGAUCUUGGUGAUCUGAAGUUCUUCUUGGGCAUAGAGGUAACCAGGUCCAAGGAAGGGAUAGUGUUGAAUCAAAGAAAGUAUGCUUUUGAACUUAUAUCUGAGGCUGGACUAAGCGGAUCAAAACCUGCUAGUACUCCACUGGAAAUGAAUCAGAAACUAAUAUCUGUGGAAUAUGACAAUCAUAUGUCCAAUGGAACAAGAGAUGAUGAUACAACUCUGAAGGAUCCAACAACAUAUCAAAGACUAGUAGGAAGGCUAUUGUAUUUCACCAUAACUAGCCUGACUUGUCCUUUGCAGUACAGGUACUAAGUCAGUACAUGCAUUCUCCAAAAACAUCUCACAUGGAAGCUACAUUGAGAGUGGUGAGGCACAUAAAAGGUAAUCUUGGCUUGGGAUUGUUUAUGCCUGCAGAAGCUUCUAACAAGUUGACAGCCUACUGUGACUCUGACUGGGGUGCUUGCUUACAAACUAGAAGAUCUAUGUAAUAAAGUUUGGAGGUGCUUUAGUCUCUUGGAAAUCAAAGAAACAAGAGACUGUGUCCAGGAGCUUUGCAGAAGCAGAGUUUAGAAGCAUGUCUACUUGUAGUGCAGAGAUCACCUGGUUACUUAGACUAUUUCAAGAGCUAGGAAUCCAGAUUAAACAACCUGUAGACUUGAUGUGUGACAUUAAAGCAGCAAUACAGAUUGCUGCUAAUCCUAUUUUUCAUGAAAGGACAAAACACAUUGACAUAGAUUGUCAUUUUGUGAGAGAAAGAAUCAGUCAGAAAAUGAUCAAGACCAAUCAUGUGCCUACAGAGGAGCAGCUAGCAGAUAUUCUCACAAAAUCCUUAGAGAAGAGUCGGCACGAAUAUCUACUAAGUAAACUGGGAAUGAAAAACAUGUUUAAGCCAUCAACUUGAGGUGGAGUGUUAAGAUAGUGGAAAGUGUAAUCAGCAAGUUGAUGAUUAGUUAGAGGAAGUUAGUGUGUGUGAUGUAUGUGUGAGUGAGUGAGUUGGUUAAGUGUGACAGCUGUCAAUAUACAGCUGUCACAAGGAGCAAACUAACCCUAUAAAUGUGACUUGUAGUGCCAUAACAAGCUAACCGAAAAUAAAUCAAUAAAAACUACUUCUAGAAUCUUCUACUCCUCUCCUUCAAGCUCUCAGCUCAAUACUAUAGAAAUCUAACAGUCUCUCAAUCUAUUUUAUCAUCCUUUCUUCUGUUUUUCCUUUCCAUUCAAAAUUCUUUGAAGUAAUUCAUCUAAUUGUGUCAUAGGUAUGGUUUCUAGAUGCUACUCCAGAAGAGGUUCGAGCUGGUGCAGAUGGAGAUGAUCAUCUAGCUGAAUUGAUAUCAUUUCUAAGUAAAUUACCAAAAGAGGUGAGUGCUUUUGGUGAUUUCUAUUUGUGAAAAAAUGUGUACGUGUAUAUUGCUUUACAUGAACUUUAACAAAUUUCAUGCUCUCUUUCUUACUGCCAACUCUUCAUGAUAUCUUUAUAUGUGUUCCUUUUUAGACUCUUGAGUAGAAAUUAGAGUCGGAGGUACAGUGGGCCUUAGCAUGAUCGUUAUCUGAUCUGUAUAGUUAAAAGCAACAAAAUAGGAGCGCAUCUUGGAGAACGAAAGUUUUUUCUUAGGUUGUUUAUUGUCUUUUGUUUCUUUUCCAUGUUUAUACUUCUAGAGUUAU
RNAcentral lists this long non-coding RNA (5500 nucleotides) under Capsicum annuum. Its description in RNAcentral is "long non-coding RNA (CANN_LNC018483)". The record is from RNAcentral. Lineage: Eukaryota; Viridiplantae; Streptophyta; Magnoliopsida; Solanales; Solanaceae.